UGUUAGCAAAAAUUUUUUUUUACUCUCGAGUUAGCAUUUUCCCAUAUUGUCAUGGCUUUAGCUCAAUUUGAGUAAAAACUACUCACUUGCUACUAUUUUCAGUAUUUUCAUUAGCACCGACUCAAACCAUUUGUCUGCGCUCGAAACGUGUUCGUUCCCGAUGGUGCGGUUUGUUUUGAUAAGUUAUUGUUUUGAAUCGUGUUCCCGUAAAACUUUAAAAGUUGUGUUUCUGGUUAACGAAAUCAUCUUCCGGAGUGGCAACGAACAGCCGGUGGUUUUGGCCGAGCCCUAAGAUGACAAUUUUGUAUCGAGGCGGUCAAUUUGGAAGGUAGAGCCAAAGAUUGUUAUGUAAAAACAACAUUAUGUCGCCCCGGAUCUAUCUUUGGGUCAUCUUCAUUUUGUAUUCAGCUCGCUUCCGGCAACUGAUCAACGUACCGCCCGUGGAUUUUUCCGUAAUAUGUAAAGAUUGAACAAAAUAAUGGUCACAACUCGAAAUGAAACUUGAAACCUAUAUGAAGGCUUAUUUUGUUUCGCAUCACAGGCCCCACUUUGUUUCGGCAAAAAAGGAAGCUCCAGCAAUACACCUGAUGGAAACAGGCGUAAAUCGAUCCAUUCCAGAAUCCUCGAUCGGCAAUCAAAUAUUCUGGCAUUUUUUCCUUUCAUCGGCCUCUGCUUGCUAUUCUUUUUCUUCGAAUCUACCAGCUAAACGAAUUCACGACAAGGCAGCGAAUUUAUGCAUAUCCGUGAUAGGAACAUGUCAAACGAGCGAUCUGACGAGAAGGAUGAUAACGAAAACAAUUUGCUCUAUUUAUGAUUGAAAUAGACAUAUACAAUAUCCUGAUUGAUCAAACCGUUACUCCUGGAGGCGUUUUUAAAGUGGAUUUUCCCCCAAGUUAUAAUACGCCUUUUCGAAUUGUAAAUAAUUUUGUUUCGCAGAUUUUACCCAUAAAAACCUAGUCAACCUACCAGUGAAAAACUAAUGCAAACGGUCAGAAUGCUACCCGUGGAAAAAUGGGUGCCGCUGGAUAAUUGGAAUAACACUCGUUACACUGGAUUUAAUUCAAGAAUAUCACAAUAUAGAUUGGUCAAUUCUUUUCUAUCCUACCACGUACAGCUAUCUCAACCAUGGAGACUGUUUCCAUAAGUCAGUGUAAUGCAAAAAAUUAAAAUUUUGAUUGAUAUUCCAUUGUCAUGAAAUUCGAUUAGGCAAUCCAUUUGUGCAAACGGUGGCGUACGUGGUCAUGGGAUAGGUCUAAGGAAUCUGCAACAUGGGGCCGAUGGAAGCGAUAUGGUCAAUACGCUGGUGGUCGAUUUUGGAGACGUAAAGAAUAUCGACAAAGUGAAUAAGAAUAAAUUUGAAGUAUUGAUCGUAAAUUGUGAUAAAAAUGAAUGUGAUUAUAAUCUGUAAGUUGGGCG
Uranotaenia lowii is the source of this 1416-nucleotide RNA transcript. RefSeq lists it as uncharacterized. The transcript is spliced from 6 exons. Lineage: Eukaryota; Metazoa; Arthropoda; Insecta; Diptera; Culicidae. The record is from RefSeq and is a predicted model, not a curated record.